This 513-nucleotide ribosomal RNA is filed under the name uncultured Chloroflexota bacterium. RNAcentral describes it as "bacterial SSU rRNA". It matches the Rfam family "Bacterial small subunit ribosomal RNA", at positions 369 to 896 of the family's 1533-position model. Lineage: Bacteria; Bacillati; Chloroflexota. The record is from RNAcentral.
CAAUGGGCGAAAGCCUGACCCAGCAACGCCGCGUGUGUGAUGAAGGCCUUCGGGUCGUAAAGCACUUUUCUGGGGAGAUGAGAAAGGACAGUAUCCCAGGAAUAAGUCUCGGCUAACUACGUGCCAGCAGCCGCGGUAAAACGUAGGAGGCGAGCGUUAUCCGGAUUCACUGGGCGUAAAGCGCGUGCAGGUGGCGCGGUAAGUUGGGCGUGAAAUCUCCCGGCUCAACUGGGAGAGGUCGUCCAAUACUACCGUGCUUGAGAGCAGAAGAGGAAGAUGGAAUUCCCGGUGUAGUGGUGAAAUGCGUAGAUAUCGGGAGGAACACCAGUGGCGAAGGCGAUCUUCUGGUCUGUUUCUGACACUCAGACGCGACAGCUAGGGUAGUAAACGGGAUUAGAGACCCCGGUAAUCCUAGCCGUAAACGAUGUGAACUUGGCGUUGGUGGGUUAAACUCCAUCAGUGCCGUAGCAAACGCGAUAAGUUCACCGCCUGGGGACUACGGCUGCAAGGUUA